Molecule: ribosomal RNA, 222 nt
Filed under: Proteus sp. (in: enterobacteria)
Lineage: Bacteria; Pseudomonadati; Pseudomonadota; Gammaproteobacteria; Enterobacterales; Morganellaceae
Description: Proteus sp. partial 16S ribosomal RNA
Rfam family: Bacterial small subunit ribosomal RNA
Source: RNAcentral
CUUGAACCGUGGCUUCUGGAGCUAACGCGUUAAAUCGACCGCCUGGGGAGUACGGCCGCAAGGUUAAAACUCAAAUGAAUUGACGGGGGCCCGCACAAGCGGUGGAGCAUGUGGUUUAAUUCGAUGCAACGCGAAGAACCUUACCUACUCUUGACAUCCAGCGAAUCCUUUAGAGAUAGAGGAGUGCCUUCGGGAGCGCUGAGACAGGUGCUGCAUGGCUGU